CUCGUACCCGCUCUUCCGCACCAAUUCCGUCGUCAUCUCCGGCUUCUGCAUCGGCAAAAUAUUCCCACCACGAACAUGAACAUUCAUCGUAUCUUCUGGCGCGUCGAGGUUCACGUACUUCCCGGCAUUGGCGUCCACCACUUGCGAGUAGUUGAAUAGAUUGAACCAUCUCCCUGCAGGGAAAUGCGCGUUUACGGUGACGUUCCCUGGCUCGAGAACCGGGGAUACCAUCACGCCUCGUCCGAUCAGAAACUGCGUGCUGAUAUCGUAUGUGUCGGUGUCUUCUGGGAAUGAAAAGAAGAGAGGACGGACGAUCGGCGAGCCCCUGAUGUGCGCCUCGUACAUUAGGGUGUAGAAAUAUGGGAGAAGGCGAUACCGGAGGCCGAGGGUCUUUCUCGCAGCCCGGGCAACCGAGUCCCAAAUAUACAGCUCAUGCCGGAUCGAGCUCUUGUCGUAGUGGUUCCUCGCGAAAGGAUAGAAUGCACCUAGCUUCGCAGCGAAAAGAGUAUCUUUAGACUUUGUUAAAAUCAAAACUAUACGAUGAUGUUUGAAUUGACGCCGAACUUAGAUUUUGCAUACCUGAAUCCACCGCCGGCAGAGCUCCUCGGUAGUGUUACCGCGGAACCCACAGAUGUCCGCUCCGACCAUCGGUACCCCGAACAGUCCAAAAUUCAGUAUGCUGGGGAUCGAGUACGCGAUAUCGUCCCACGUCGCCGCAUUAUCCCCAGUCCAGUGUGCCGCGUACUUCCCAGACCCAAUGAACGUCGACCGUGACAGCACGAACGGUCGCUUCCCAGUGUCAUUCAUCAGCGCAUCGUGCGUCGCCCUCGACUCCAGCCAACCAUACAGGUUAUGUGCAUCGUACUCGCUUACAUUCCCGAAGUGGAUCGCCGAGGCCGGAACUGUUCUAUCGUAGAUGGGCCUAUUUAUGCCGGAGUUGUUAAUCCGGUAGGGUGGCUCGUCAAGAGCGUUGAGGGGCGAGGGGUCAGCAAAAUUGGAAAUCUCGUUCAUGUCGAUCCAUAAGCCAUCGACGGGGAUAAUUUGUCGGAAUAUCGCGAUCUCUCGGGCCCAGAACACAGCUGCAGCUGGGUUCAGGAAAUCCGGGAAAUAGACCGGCCCUGGCCACACGUUUCCCACGAAGUAACUUCCGUUCCUCUUCAGGAAAAUUCCAUCUCUCAUUCCCCUCUUGAAUGUGCCAUAUGUGUUGUUAACACUAAUCCCUGCAACAAUUUUGCAAGUUUUUGUUGUUCAUUAAUUGUGUGAAUUUUUCGCCAACAUUUUGAUGUUUCUGUAGUAGUGUUUCACCUGGUUCUACUAUGACCACAUAUUUUUGCCCAUUGUGGUGAAGGUGUUUGAUGAAUUGCUUCAUCUCCGGUGCAGGGAAGUUCACGGGGUCGAGGGUGAAGUCCUUGAACCCAUCCAUGUAGUCGAUAUCGGUCCACAUUACUUCGAGAGGGAUCUUGGCUUUGGCAUAGCCCGCGACGACGUCUUUGAGGUCUGAUACAUCCUUGAACUUGUAAUGGCACUGGUGAAAUCCUAGAGCAUAGAAAAAUUUUCUAGUUUUGUUCCUUGAUAUAUAGUACCAGAAAUUUUAGCAACUUUGUUUGGUAGACAUUUGAUUUUUUGCUUUUCCAAUAAAGAAGCUGUUUCAGAAACCUUACCAGAUGAGUACAUAGAAAAAGAUUUUUAGUUACUUACCGAAGGACCAGUACGGCAUUGGGGCGGGUCGACCGACGAACUCGGUGUACUGAUCGAUCACAGAUAGCGGCGAUGACCCCGCGAAAAAGUAGAAGUCGAGGAUUCCCCCGAUCACUUUGUAAGUGAUGUACGACCCACCGUAAACUAUGUCCAUGCCGUUGCUAUUGAGGAGGAGCACGCCGUGCGUAGUCCCCGCCGGGCCUGCAGCUCCGGGCUGCGACGAUCUCACAUCAAUGUAGAAAGGGUGAGACCCGUAGAGAUUCAGAUUGGGGUUCAACGCCAAUAUGUCGGAAUUCCACAAGGUCAGUGUGUCAUUUGGUUUUAGCCUAAAUGACUUCUUUGUGUGCUCUCCGAAACCAUACAAAGAUGCUCGAUCGGCGGGUAGAGCCGAGGAGAUCUCCAAGUACCGGUCCUUGAACACGAGUGUGGGCAUCGAAUCGAAUAGGAUAUCGCCCGUGGAGCGGCGCGUGACGGUGAACCUGAAGGGAGAGGUGGUGAGGAGUGUGAAGACGAGGUCGGCGCCCGCGAGACCGAGGACUAGUUGGUUUUCGGGUCCUUGGGACUUGUUUGAGUCUAUGUGAGCUCUUUGAUCUUCCGGCAUUUCGCGGUCCGACGGUGGAGGUUCGCGGGGGAUGAUGUGCUGUGGAACUUCCCAUCUUUGGUGAUCAGAAUCGGUUAUUCGAACUCGCAGACGAUCUUUGGUUUCGAAGCUGCAGAAAAAAGGAGGGAAAAAAAGGAACUUGAAAGAAUUCAAUAUCAGUUUUAUAAAACGUUGGUUUCUGUUGGAACCAAUCAUCUUUCUAGUUAGAACAUUUCACUAAAACCAAUCCCUAAUUACAAGGAAAACUAAUCUUAAGGAUCACAAAUGAACUUGCCUAGCAAAGAGCUUAAGGUUCGGUAUGUCUGGUCCGUAAACCGACGAUUUGCAGAUCAACCGGAGCUCCGCGGUGAGUGACUUACCCGAAGGGUUGACGGAGAUCGAUCGGAGGAGCUUGUAGCCGUAUCCGGUUAUUUGUUUCUUUUUCGAGUCGGAUUGAAUUGAUGAACAACAGGAGGUGGAGAAAGAGUAGAAGAGGAAGAUGAUGAUGAGGAGAUGAGAUGAGGAUCUCAAAAUUCCCAUCACUAUGUGUAGUAUUUUAGGCAAGGAAAUACCUAAUGGUGCUACCACAAGCUUACACUACUAGUAAUAUAUACUACGUGCUCACACAGUCACAACCCACAGCAACUUUUUGUACAAAUAAACUUCGCUAGAAAUGUGAAAUAAUUAGCAUUCGAAUUUAGAAUCUCGAGUACUGAUCAUCAGGUUUUACCUAAUUGUGCUAGAUUUGAUCGGUGCGCCCACCUUGAUCCAUAAUCAAGUAUUUAAGUGUCGUAAUACGAGAUCGUGCCGAAAGCUUGCCAGUGCGGUACGAUGCGUGUCAAGUCGUACCGAUGUAUGCUGAUCACAAAAUAAACAUAUAUGCCGACACAUACUGGCAUAAAAUAUUUAUUUUCUUUGAACCUUAAUAAGAAAAUUACUUACUAAUUAAAAAAAAUAGAGGGCUUUGAGUUAUGCCAUCGGUACGGGAGUUAUAUCAUGUCGAUAUUUUGUUGGCACGAUACGAUACAGUGUAUACGCUCCUUCUUGUAAUAAAAAAUUUAUAGACAGUGGAUGUAGAAAAAAUCUUCUCUGCAACAGAUAUAUAAAAUAUGAAAGAAAUAUUUUAUUUGUACAGAAAAAGGCCUCUUCGUGGGCUAGUGCCGAACCCAUCAAGCGAAUUAUGAGAUUCCCGCGCGCUUUGGUUAAACAAAAAAAAAGGAAAGAAAAGGAGAAAUUAAUUAUUGAGGAGAUUACGGGAAAGUGAAACGUGGAUUCCGGCCCAGCCCCGUCGAGAAGAGACACGUCGCACCAGUGAUUGGAUAUUGGUUUCCAUGCUUUGUGCGAGAACUCCUUUUUGGAGAUUGGAUAAUUAAGAUGGACAUGGAUGGAUGGGUGGGGUGGGUCUGCACGGCACGGAUUCGGUAGCACCCGUGUCGGCCGGGCCCAUCCUAGAAUUUUAGGCCGGGCUGGGCCUCUCGUCCUGGGCCUGACGGUUCGGCACGGCCCGACCGAAAACGACUGGGCUGAGGAGAGACCCGCGACCCGGCCCCCUGGGGAGAAGCGCUCUCCGGGAGCUCUCCUCCCAAGGUCUGCAAGCUUUGAUCCCAUGGACAGUUUGGCCCUGCCCGGCAGGGCCGGCGCCUUCUGGGCCAAAGGGCCGGAGGCUUGGUAGAUCUUGUUGGCUUAACGGGGGCGAUCAUCUUGCCUUAUGGCGGAAGGCCAAGUUAGACCAAGUCACGUUUGAAAUUGUAUAAGGCUGGGUUGCACCGAGUCAUAUUUGAAGUGACGUGAGGCUGGUUGGCCAAGUCACAAUUGAAAUCCGUAACGCUGUAGUAUCUGUACACUUUAAGAGAAUUGGUUGUAUAUUUCUACAAACACGAGUUUUGAGGAUUAAUGAUUGGCGUCAACGAUUCGGCUUGGCACAUUUUGGAAUAUUCGAUAUGCUCUCCCAAUAAAGUUAAAAUAGUGUGCUCUUAGGUUUAUGUAAUAGCAUCUUUGGAGCACUAGGUGUGGUUGAACUUUGGCAUUAUUACCCUCUCUUGUAUUUUCUUUUUAUUUUAACAGAAUAUGCCGAGUGAAUACAUAUUAUCCCAACAACAGGUGCAUUUAAAUUAGUUUCACUUUUUUCUAAGCAGGGUUGAUGGACAAACACUAGUUAUUUUUACUAUGUCGAAAAGCUCAUUUCAGUUCCUCAACAUAUUUUAUUUAUUUAAUGUCUGUUUAGUUGAAAAGUAAUUGAAAAAUUAUUUCAGAAAUCAGACGAAAAACGCCGUAAAUUGGCGGCUUCUACAAAUGUUACCAACAUGGUAAUUAAAAACUUGAACCAAAUUUAUUCCAAAUGUCUUUUUUAAAUAGAAAUUCCUAACCUUCUUGUGCUCAUCAUCAUCAUCAUCAUCAUCAUCAUCAUCAUCUUCCUAGUGAUCUCAAACACUAGUUAGAGAUCUUAAUUUCCAACUCAAAUUCCUCCCCAAGUAACUGUGACAACCCCUCAAUUUGUGCAAUCCCAAAUCUCCCAAUUUUACCAUGCUCAACUCUCUUCAUUUCCACCCCAUUCAUAUAUAUGCUACCCAUUCCAAGUGAUCUCUCCAACUCAAAUCCUAAAAGCACCACCUUUUCUAUCACUAGCUUAUGCUCCAAUGCAUAUUUUCCAUUUACAACCUCAGAUUUUAGUUUCAAAUACUUGUUUUCUAUUUCACUUUUGAACCUCACAAAGCUCCAAUCACCCCCUUCUCCCCCCAUCUCCACCACCUCCCCAUCAUCCACGAAAACCUCCCCCGUCGCCGCCCCGUUCUCGUCGACCACCACCAAAAGCUCGUACCCGCUCUUCCGCGCCAAUUCUGUCGUCAUCUCCGGCUUCUGCAUUGGCAAAAUAUUCCCGCCACGAACAUGAACAUUUAUCGUAUCUUCCGGCGCGUCGAGGUUCACGUACUUCCCGGCAUUGGCAUCCACCUUUUGCGAGUAGUUGAAUAGAUUGAACCAUCUCCCCGCAGGGAAAUACGCGUUUACGGUGACGUUCCCCGGCUCGACUACUGGAGACACCA
RNAcentral lists this long non-coding RNA (5319 nucleotides) under Ananas comosus (pineapple). Its description in RNAcentral is "long non-coding RNA (ACOM_LNC028646)". The record is from RNAcentral. Lineage: Eukaryota; Viridiplantae; Streptophyta; Magnoliopsida; Poales; Bromeliaceae.